AUUGAGUUCAACCAAACACCCAGGAGCCAACAUCCUUAUUCUUAAAACCCUAAUUCACCAAAUUCUACUCAAAAUCAAAGAGAGAAACAGAAUUUCAAUCGAUUCUAAGCUGAAUUCGUGAUCCUCAUACUUAGUAGAUCACAAGGUAUGUGUAACUGAAUCAAAUUUUGGAUGAAGAUCAAGCUAGUUCUGAACCGAACACGCACACAUGAUGAAGCUUCCGAAAUGAAACUAUGUCGUUAAUUACUAAACACCUAUGUGAUGUUUUGUUAUACUUUGAUAAAUAUUGUUAAAUGUUUUUAGCAAGUUAAGUAUGUGUUGAAAUAACGGUAUGGUUUAAACUUUGGUAAACAUCGUUUGAAUGUUUUGAAUGCUUUAUGAAUGUCAAGUAAAUAAAUGAUAUUGGAUCAAAACUGCAUUUAAAUACAUUAUAUAGUA
Molecule: long non-coding RNA, 438 nt
Filed under: Helianthus annuus (common sunflower)
Lineage: Eukaryota; Viridiplantae; Streptophyta; Magnoliopsida; Asterales; Asteraceae
Description: hypothetical non coding rna
Source: RNAcentral